GACGAACGCUGGCGGCGUGCUUAACACAUGCAAGUCGAACGGCGUGGCGCACGGGUGAGUAACACGUGGGUGAUCUGCCUUGCACUUCGGGGUAAGCUUGGGAAACUGGGUCUCAUACCGGCUAGUGCAAGAUGAGUUCGCGGCCUAUAAGCUUGUUGGUGGGGUAAUGGCCUCCGAAGACGUCGACGGGUAGCCGGCCUGAGAGGGGGUACGGCGACAUGGGGACUGAGAUACGGCGCAGUGGCCUACAGGAGGCAGCAGUGGGGAAUAUGGCACAAUGGGCGGAAGCCUGAUGCAGCGACGCCGCGGUGGGGAUGAAGGCCUUCGGGUUGGAAACUCCUUGCGACAGGGACGCGGUACCUGCAGAAGAAGCACCGGCUAACUACGUGCCAGCAGCCGCGGUAAUAC
This 408-nucleotide ribosomal RNA is filed under the name uncultured bacterium. RNAcentral describes it as "partial 16S ribosomal RNA". It matches the Rfam family "Bacterial small subunit ribosomal RNA", at positions 28 to 526 of the family's 1533-position model. The record is from RNAcentral.